Molecule: small RNA, 140 nt
Filed under: Phormidium tenue
Lineage: Bacteria; Bacillati; Cyanobacteriota; Cyanophyceae; Oscillatoriales; Oscillatoriaceae
Also listed under: 1 other name
Description: Guanidine-I sequence
Rfam family: Guanidine-I riboswitch aptamer
About the family: This family represents a conserved RNA structure found upstream of the ykkC and yxkD genes in Bacillus subtilis and related genes in other bacteria. The function of this family is unclear although it has been suggested that it may function to switch on efflux pumps and detoxification systems in response to harmful environmental molecules.
Source: RNAcentral
AAAUUAUGUCUCUAGGGUUCCGGUUUGGCUGCUGUGGUCAAAUGGCUGGUCCAAGAGAGGCAGGUUAGUGAUGGCGUUGGUCAAGGACUGGCCCCUAAGGGUCAUCGCUAACUACACGGCGGGAUAAAAGCCCGGGAGGA